UACGUAGGGGGCGAGCGUUGUCCGAAGUUACUGGGCGUAAAGCGCGCGUAGGCGGCUCUUUAAGUCUGAGGUGAAAGGUUCAGCGCUCAACGUGAACAGUGCCUUGGAUACUGGGGAGCUUGAGUGUGGGAGAGGGAAGUGGAAUUCCUGGUGUAGCGGUGAAAUGCGUAGAUAUCAGGAAGAACACCCGUGGCGAAGGCGGCUCUCUGGGACGGUACUGACGCUGAGGAGCGAAAGCCAGGGGAGCAAACGGG
Molecule: ribosomal RNA, 254 nt
Filed under: uncultured bacterium
Lineage: Bacteria
Description: partial 16S ribosomal RNA
Rfam family: Bacterial small subunit ribosomal RNA
Source: RNAcentral